GUUCCCUUUGAGGUUGAAAAGGAAUAAGAUGUCCACAUAUGAUGUUUCUCAUUGGGUAGUCAAUGACCCACUUGGACGGCUGAUGAUGUAGAGAAUUU
This is a long non-coding RNA of Cucurbita maxima (winter squash), 98 nucleotides long. RefSeq lists it as uncharacterized. The record is from RefSeq and is a predicted model, not a curated record. The transcript has 3 exons. Lineage: Eukaryota; Viridiplantae; Streptophyta; Magnoliopsida; Cucurbitales; Cucurbitaceae.